This 484-nucleotide ribosomal RNA is filed under the name uncultured bacterium. RNAcentral's name for it is "partial 16S ribosomal RNA". It matches the Rfam family "Bacterial small subunit ribosomal RNA", at positions 29 to 507 of the family's 1533-position model. The record is from RNAcentral.
AUUGAACGCUGGCGGAAUGCUUUACACAUGCAAGUCGAACGGCAGCACGGGGGCAGCCCUGGUGGCGAGUGGCGAACGGGUGAGUAAUACAUCGGAACGUGCCCGGUCGUGGGGGAUAACGUAGCGAAAGUUACGCUAAUACCGCAUACGAUCUGAGGAUGAAAGCGGGGGACCUUCGGGCCUCGCGCGAUCGGAGCGGCCGAUGUCAGAUUAGGUAGUUGGUGGGGUAAAGGCCUACCAAGCCGACGAUCUGUAGCUGGUCUGAGAGGACGACCAGCCACACUGGGACUGAGACACGGCCCAGACUCCUACGGGAGGCAGCAGUGGGGAAUUUUGGACAAAGGGCGCAAGCCUGAUCCAGCCAUUCCGCGUGCAGGACGAAGGCCUUCGGGUUGUAAACUGCUUUUGUACGGAACGAAAAGGCUCUGGCUAAUACCUGGGGCUCAUGGCGGUACCGUAAGAAUAAGCACCGGCUAACUACGUG